This is a long non-coding RNA of Amphimedon queenslandica, 554 nucleotides long. RefSeq lists it as uncharacterized. The record is from RefSeq and is a predicted model, not a curated record. Lineage: Eukaryota; Metazoa; Porifera; Demospongiae; Haplosclerida; Niphatidae. The transcript is spliced from 6 exons.
UGAUAAUUGAGUAUUGCAGUCAUGAUCAGGGAGGUCCUAUCAAAGGUUUUACGGUCUUUUGGGAGAAAGAUUUUGCCACCUGGAGGAGAAGUGGGUAGAGAACUUUGAUUCUGCCUUUCAAGAACAAUAUGCUACUGUACACAGAUUAGAAACUAACAAACUCCGAAAUACUUCAAAGUUUUUUGUGCAAUUAUUUUAUACUGACGCAUUGCCUUGGACCUGCCACUCUUGUAUUCAUUUAAAUGAAAAAGAAACGAACUCCUCAAGUCGUAUAUUUAUGAAAAUUUUAUUUCAAGAGAUCGCUGACUACUUGGGAUUAAAGAAACUAAACAAACGAUUGAAAGAUCCAACUCUCUCAGCUUUUUUGAUGGCAUAAUGCCAAAAGAUAAUAUCACAAAUAUGAAAUUCUGCAUUAAUUUCUUCACUUCGAUAGGACUGGGAGGAUUAAUUGAUGGCUUGAGAGCACUCAGAGUAAAUGGACCAAAGAACAUUAUUCAGGCUGAUUCUGAUUCAAGCUCUGAUAACAACAGCUCUGAAGAGUCUACACUAUCAAU